CACGUAGGCGGACUGAAAAGUUGGAGGUGAAAUCCCAGGGCUCAACCUUGGAACUGCCUUCAAAACUAUCGGUCUGGAGUUCGAGAGAGGUGAGUGGAAUUCCGAGUGUAGAGGUGAAAUUCGUAGAUAUUCGGAGGAACACCAGUGGCGAAGGCGGCUCACUGGCUCGAUACUGACGCUGAGGUGCGAAAGCGUGGGGAGCAAACA
RNAcentral lists this ribosomal RNA (207 nucleotides) under uncultured bacterium. RNAcentral's name for it is "partial 16S ribosomal RNA". It matches the Rfam family "Bacterial small subunit ribosomal RNA", at positions 568 to 774 of the family's 1533-position model. The record is from RNAcentral.